AGUGAACGCUGGCGGUAGGCCUAACACAUGCAAGUCGAACGGCAGCACAGUAAGAGCUUGCUCUUACGGGUGGCGAGUGGCGGACGGGUGAGGAAUACAUCGGAAUCUACUUUUUCGUGGGGGAUAACGUAGGGAAACUUACGCUAAUACCGCAUACGACCUACGGGUGAAAGCAGGGGAUCUUCGGACCUUGCGCGAUUGAAUGAGCCGAUGUCGGAUUAGCUAGUUGGCGGGGUAAAGGCCCACCAAGGGUACGGUCCGUAGCUGGUCUGGGAGGAUGGUCGGCCCCACUGGACCUGGGACACGGUCCAGACUCCUACGGGAGGCAGCAGUGGGGAAUAUUGGACAAUGGGCGCAAGCCUGACCCAGCCAUCCCGCGUGGGUGAAGAAGGCCUUCGGGUUGUAAAGCCCUUUUGUUGGGAAAGAAAAGCAGCAGGUUAAUACCCCGCUGUUCUGACGGUACCCAAAGAAUAAGCACCGGCUAACUUCGUG
This 492-nucleotide ribosomal RNA is filed under the name uncultured bacterium. RNAcentral describes it as "partial 16S ribosomal RNA". It matches the Rfam family "Bacterial small subunit ribosomal RNA", at positions 29 to 507 of the family's 1533-position model. The record is from RNAcentral.